Molecule: unclassified non-coding RNA, 363 nt
Filed under: uncultured bacterium
Lineage: Bacteria
Description: contains 16S-23S intergenic spacer region
Source: RNAcentral
UCCCUGUUACCAGGGCAGUCUAGCUAGAGAAAUCCAACUAACUAUAAGGGUUGCGCUCGUUGCGGGACUUAACCCAACAUCUCACGACACGAGCUGACGACGGCCAUGCAACACCUGUCUCUGCGCUCCCGAAGGCACACUCUGCUUUCGCAGUGCUUCGCAGGAUGUCAAGCCUGGGUAAGGUUCUUCGCUUACCAUCGAAUUAAACAACACGCUCCACCGCUUGUGCGGGUCCCCGUCAAUUCCUUUAUGUUUUAGCCUUGCGGCCGUACUCCACAGGCGGGAUGCUUAACGCGUUAGCUUCGCUACAAAUCGGGUCGAUACGAUUUACAGCUAGCAUCCAUCGUUUACGGCGUGGACUAC